RNAcentral lists this ribosomal RNA (423 nucleotides) under uncultured bacterium. Its description in RNAcentral is "partial 16S ribosomal RNA". It matches the Rfam family "Bacterial small subunit ribosomal RNA", at positions 360 to 775 of the family's 1533-position model. The record is from RNAcentral.
AAUUUUGGACAAUGGGGGAAACCCUGAUCCAGCCAUCCCGCGUGUAUGAUGAAGGCAUGCGGGUUGUAAAGUACUUUUGGUAGAGACGAAAAGGUACCUCCUAAUACGAGGGACUGCUGACGGUCUCUGCAGAUUAUGCAGAGGCUAACCACGUGCCAGCCGCCGUGGUAACACGGAGGGUGCAAGCGUUAAUCGGAAUUACAGGGCGUAAAGCGUGUGUAGGCGGUUCGGAAAGAAAGAUGUGAAAUCCCAGGGCUCAACCUUGGAACUGCAUUUUUAACUGCCGAGCUAGAGUAUGUCAGAGGGGGGUAGAAUUCCACGUGUAGCAGUGAAAUGCGUAGAUAUGUGGAGGAAUACCGAUGGCGAAGGCAGCCCCCUGGGAUAAUACUGACGCUCAGACACGAAAGCGUGGGGAGCAAACAG